Long non-coding RNA from Oncorhynchus keta (chum salmon), 930 nucleotides. RefSeq lists it as uncharacterized. The record is from RefSeq and is a predicted model, not a curated record. Lineage: Eukaryota; Metazoa; Chordata; Actinopteri; Salmoniformes; Salmonidae. The transcript has 6 exons.
UAGGUCUAUACUGCUCCCUACAUGGUGUAACAAUACAUCAUAUAGAUGUAUAUAAUGAACAGACUAGGUCUAUACUGCUCCUACAUGGUGUAACAAUACAUCAUGUAGAUGUAUAUAAUGAACAGACUAGGUCUAUACUGCUCCUACAUGGUGUAACAAUACAUCAUGUAUAUAAUGAACAGACUAGGUCUAUACUGCUCCUACAUGGUGUAACAUCAUGUAGAUGUAUAUAAUGAACAGACUAGGUCUAUACUGCUCCUACAUGGUGUAACAAUACAUCAUGUAGAUGUAUAUAAUGAACAGACUAGGUCUAUACUGCUCCUACAUGGUGUAACAAUACAUCAUGUAGAUGUAUAUAAUGAACAGACUCGGUCUAUACUGCUCCUACAUGGUGUAACAAUACAUCAUGUAGAUGUAUAUAAUGAACAGACUAGGUCUAUACUGCUCCUACAUGGUGUAACAAUACAUCAUGUAUAUAAUGAACAGACUAGGUCUAUACUGCUCCUACAUGGUGUAACAAUACAUCAUGUAGAUGUAUAUAAUGAACAGACUAGGUCUAUACUGCUCCUACAUGGUGUAACAAUACAUCAUGUAGAUGUAUAUAAUGAACAGACUAGGUCUAUACUGCUCCUACAUGGUGUAACAAUACAUCAUGUAUAUAAUGAACAGACUAGGUCUAUACUGCUCCUACAUGGUGUAACAUCAUGUAGAUGUAUAUAAUGAACAGACUAGGUCUAUACUGCUCCUACAUGGUGUAACAAUACAUCAUGUAGAUGUAUAUAAUGAACAGACUAGGUCUAUACUGCUCCUACAUGGUGUAACAAUACAUCAUGUAUAUAAUGAACAGACUAGGUCUAUACUGCUCCUACAUGGUGUAACAAUACAUCAUGUAGAUGUAUAUAAUGAACAGACUAGGUCUAUACUGCUCCU